GGCGGUGUUUUAGACCUCUCAGGGGAACCUGUCUCGUAAUCGACAAUCCACGCUAAACCCGACCCUCUAUAGCAAUUCAGCCUGUAUACCGUUGUCGUCAGGUAACUUCUUAAAAUAUAGUAGUUAGCUCGAAAAUUAUAUUAAUUAGUACGUCAGAUCAAGGUGCAGCUAAUAAGAGGGAGAGGAUGGGUUACAAUUAUACA
RNAcentral lists this ribosomal RNA (203 nucleotides) under Conus capitanellus. RNAcentral describes it as "partial 12S ribosomal RNA". The record is from RNAcentral. Lineage: Eukaryota; Metazoa; Mollusca; Gastropoda; Neogastropoda; Conidae.